CGCCAUCUUCCUCGCUCAAGCAGGUGAGUGACAGCAUUGGGGGGUGUUUGGUACUUGUGUUGAGUUGACCUGCAUUUCAUUUGCAGUUGUUGAUUGUGGAAAUGGUUCUGUAGUUCCAUUUCAGGCGGUCUCCUAGCCAGUAUAGAUAUGCUAGAUGCAAUUGCAGGAAUGAAUUGCUGCAGGUUCAGAGUGUUUUAUCAAAAAAAUGUUUAGAUUUUGUCUUCAAUACGAGUCCAGAUGCGUUGAGCGACUCACGUCUUGUGGGUCAACAAUCUUUGUUGCUCGUUUUUGGGACUAGUGAUAUCUUCAGAUAGUGUUUCAUGAAGGGAAUAGUCAAGCACAGGUGCAUCCAUGUUGCAUCAGCUUUUGAUUUUCAGGGUGUAGGCAACAAAAUUAGAGUUAUUUUUUUGUAGGCAACAUAGAGAAUGAUAAGUAGGCAAAAUACUGCAUAUAAUCUUAGCAUCUGUACUGCUUCAGUAGGAAAUACUGUAAUAUAUGUGUUCUUCUAGCUUUUUUUCAGCAUCUUUGUUCACAAGGGGUGCAGGCAGGCAAUAUAUGUUUUCAGCAGGCAAAACUAUAAUAAUAUGUGGGUUCAUAUUGGUAGCUAUUUAUCAACAACUGUUUUCUUUAGUAGGCAACAUAUUUUUUUAGUGGGCAAUACUGUAAUAUCCUACAGUUCGACAAGGUCCGCCUUCCCUUCAACUUCCACAUGCAUACAUCUGUGAACGCAACUCGUCAAUCGAAUUGAUGUCCUGCAACUGCAAUCAAUCAGCAGUAAGCAUCAUCUAGGUGUUUUGAUCCGGUGUGCCUAGUCUUCUUGUUGUUUCAGUCAGUGUGCCACGCGCUGGACAAGCAUGUCAAGAUCAGGGUCUACUUCAAGGUAUGUACCAACACUCUUCUACCUGGCACGCCAAUAGCUUUUUCAGUCUGCCCAACACCGUACCCAGCACCACUGUCAACAAAGACUGCUCCUUGGGGAUGAAGGGUAUCCAAAAUUCAUCUCUUCACCUGUAAUGUCUCGGUAGUUACUUGCCACUGCUGCUACAAAACUUAUGUUGUUGCUUUUUGGCCCGUUCCUUGCUAUCUGAAGUAUAUAUUUUUGUGUGUCGCUCAUUCGCUAUCUGAAGAAUUUUAUGUAAGUAGUCUUAAUGUGUGUUUAGCUUUCAGUUUUUACUCCUACUUCACAGAGCAGUAUUCGAUGAUUAUAUUAUGAGUCACUGAAAAUGUAUACUGUUUUUUUCUUCAAGAUAUGGAUGACUAUCUGAAGGGAUGCAGGAUUCUUCCCAAACUUAACAACUGAGAUACUAGGUGAAAGAAAUGCUCCCUACAAGGAAAGGUUGAGCAGCCUAGAGAAUUUAGUACUGAUCAUGGUAAGGUUGACAAAGCCUGAAAUCUCAUUUUUGAUCCAGGUUCAAAGAUUACAUGGUAGCAUAUAUACUUGAAGUUGGCAGGGAAUAUCAAAACUCAAAUACACAGGUAUUAAUUUCUUGUAUGCACCAAAACAACAAGAUAGCAUGAACACGUAUAGCUAGGGUAUGCAUUUAGUCUUUCCAUUUUGAAGAUUCUUAAUAGACUAAAAGAGACUGAUAAAUGAAGAAAAUACCCUACUGGAUCUGCACAAGGAUGCGAACUAACAAGUUUUCAUUUUCCCGACGUGGGCGCAGGGGUGAUCGACGCGGACUACAACGACCUGGUGGGCGCCGUGCUCUUCAACCACUUGGAUUAUUGUC
RNAcentral lists this long non-coding RNA (1730 nucleotides) under Triticum aestivum (bread wheat). Its description in RNAcentral is "long non-coding RNA (TAES_LNC015860)". Lineage: Eukaryota; Viridiplantae; Streptophyta; Magnoliopsida; Poales; Poaceae. The record is from RNAcentral.